Non-coding RNA from Nicotiana tabacum (common tobacco), 1138 nucleotides. The record is from RefSeq and is a predicted model, not a curated record. Lineage: Eukaryota; Viridiplantae; Streptophyta; Magnoliopsida; Solanales; Solanaceae.
UUUAAUGGUUAGUUUUAUCUUAAUAAUUAUUUGAAUAGUAGGAAUAAUUAACAAAUGGGCGCAUAUUUUAAUCUCAUUCGCGGCAAAAUAAUAGAGCUUGGGCUCGAGCAACCCAUUUUAGGCUUAAUUUUGGACCUAACCCAUAAUUGUCAAGCCCAUAAUUCCUAGGCCCAUACCCCUUAACCUAAAAAUCCUACAACCUAGACUCUACACUAUAAAAGAAUGAUGAAGACUAAAGGAAAAGGGGGAACGAUAUACACGGAAAAGGAGCUGCGCAACCUUUUUAAAGAAAAAGGACCCUCCCUUUCGUUUUCUUCUGAAAAGGAACACCAAAGAAAAUGAUGAAAAAGCUGAAGGAGGAAGGCUGAAGAACGAGAAGCUGCGCAACUUCUAAAAGAACGACUCCCCCUCCCCCAGACUUUGGUCUCCUUCGAACACGACCCCCUCCCCCUCCAUCAGUCUGGUUUUCUUCUUCUCCAAAUCCUCUCACCAACCUAACGACCCUAGGGACUAAGAAAAACAGAGUAAUUGCAGCUUCUUCAACUCCUCUCGCCCACCAGCGGCGAACUCGCCGGAAAAUGCACAGCCAAAACUCGUCAUCACCCUAGCUCCUUUAUCACCUUCAACUACUUCACUCUCUCUCAUUGGAGAUAUCACCGACGACUCGUUCUAGUUCAAAACUACCGAGUCUCUGCCAAAGCUGGUCAAACAGGUGAAGUCUGGCGAGAGACCUGGCGAGUGUCGAGGUCCGGUCGUAAUUCCAUUGAGGUUUCCGGCGAAGCCUUGAUCUAAUGGUUCGAGGACAUCACCAGGUCAGUGGCUAGCAUUGGACACUUUGGUCUCCGAGAGAUUCAGGCAUUGUUGAUCCUGCUAGAGCGAGUUGAGAGCUCCCGGCAGACUUCGGAGUCCAUGAGGUAGCUACUUGGCGUCCGUAGUCCCGUGUUCCUCCCCCUUUAUCUCAUUUCCUUCUUUUUAUCAGUUAUUCUGUAAUAGUUUAGUAGGCAUUUCAGACUUGUAGUGUAUUAAUAGAUGCUCAUGACUAGUGACACCCCAGUAUCGGGCUGUGUUGGGUUUUAUUUCCGUAAACUGUAAUGUCUACUGCUUACUUUUGGAUUAGUUUAUUACAUUAUAGACUUAA